UAUAUAUAUAAAGGAGGAUCUCCACACGGAUGACGUGGAGCCUCUCACCUCUCUUUUUUUCUUUUUCCUCAAUUCUCAUGAUCUUUCGUCUAUUUUCUCUCAAUUUCUACAAUCUCAACAAUCUCAGUACUCCUGUUUGUUAAUUUUGAGAUUUCCGCUGCAGAAAUCGAAAGGUCUCACUACUCAUUAUUCAAAUUACUGCUCCACACGGAUGACGUGGAGCCUCUCACCUCUCUUUUUUUUCUUUUUCUUCAAUUCUCAUGAUCUCUCGUCUUAUUUCUCUCAAUUUCUACAAUCUCAACAAUCUCAGUACUCCUGUUUGUUAAUUUUGAGAUUUCCGCUGCAGAAAUCGAAAGGCAAAUGCAAUCGCAGACCUACAGCAAAGCGUCCGAGACAGAGAGAGAGGAGAUGAUUGUAUAUUGGGUCGCUACAUUGAUCUCGCCACAUUGAUUUGGAUAUACUGAUAAUCUCGGGAUUAUGUUAUUUCCUAUGCAUUUGCUCAUUAGCCUCCAGUUGCUCUUGGCGUCCAAUUGGGCAUCAGUGUACUGCUGCGAAAUAGCUUGAUAUUUGUAUGGAUUUUUCCUGUUAUCAGUUUUUUGAGUUGGGUGUUUAGGUUUCAGGGCACGUUGGUUGUUCUAUUAUUUGAAAGGCAGACAAGUUGAUUAUGGGGAGGAGCAUAGCAAAGCUUCUGGAUGCUUGUAAUUUGGUCGAGUUUCUGAAAAAGGUUAACUUUUUGGCUUUUUUGCUUUAUAUUUUUGAUUAAUUUGUAGUUUGGAGAAGCAAGAGGAGGUCAAAAAAAUAAUUCAAGAAGUCACUGUCCAUGGAUUUCUCAGUUCUGCUUCUACUCAGUUUCGGCCUCGCAUUUGGAAGAAAAAAAUGAUAGGAAUUUGUUUUACACUUUCGUCCUCACGAUUAUGCAGGUUAGUUUUUAGAUCUUUGCUUACAUAUAUAGACUAUAUAGUACGCCGUUGGCAAUUUAAUUUUUGUAUCAGGGCAGUACCAGUAGCUUUUUGCUUAUUUUCUGCAUGGCCAUCACAACACCUUACCUUCAUACAUUUUCCAUUUGAAAAGCUAUAGGAACAUGCUCCAUAGUUUUGUCUUUACAAUGAUAAAAAAAUGUCAGCCACCUCUUUAGGAAGCUAGAAAUAUCGAGAAUCAAAGUCGAGGGUAAAAGGUUUUAUAUUUAGUUAAUCAUGCAGUUAAUUGCACGCAUAGGCAGAUAAUUAAUGUUAAAUUUUCUUGACAAGAUGAUUAGGAGCCCCACAUACAAACUUAUAUAACCUUGCUGCUCUUUAAAGUUCAGUAAACCGAUCUUUGUUCAAUGUGGAUUAGCUCUUAAAUAAAGUUAUAUCUCUGCAAUCUUCAUGUCAUCCUAGGUCUGUCGCGCUUGAUCAUAUUUUUUUCAUGAUCAUGUCACUGUGAGACUCUUUCUAUCAUAUCUGUUAACUUGAAAUCUUUGAAAGGCAGGAAUCAAAUGUGUUAUUUGAUGCUCACUUACUUGGUGCCAUUUUUGUGGUCACUCUUGCUGGUGAUUUGACUACUAAUUCGUUCUACCUUCUGAUAAUUA
Molecule: long non-coding RNA, 1567 nt
Organism: Daucus carota subsp. sativus
Lineage: Eukaryota; Viridiplantae; Streptophyta; Magnoliopsida; Apiales; Apiaceae
Exons: 5
Source: RefSeq, a predicted model, not a curated record